CCUGAGAGAUGGCUACUACUUCCAAGGAAGGCAGCAGGCGCGAAAAUUGCCAAACCUACAAAGUAGGAGGCAGUGACAAUAAAUAUCUGCGGGGCUUAUGCUCCGACUGGAAUGAGAUGGAUGUAAAUAAUCCUACGAGUAUCGAUUGGAGGAAAAGUCUGGUGCCAGCACCCGCGGUAAUUCCAGCUCCAAGAGCGUAUAUUCAAGUUGCUGCAGUUAAAAAGCUCGUAGUUGGGUGGGGAAUGAGUGGAGGAAGGAGAAGGGGAACCGGAUCUGGAAUCUACUUGUUCAUUUAUGAAGAGUAGCUUGGUAGAUGGCCUUAACUGGUUGUUUAUUAUAGCCUCUUCCGUUGACCGUGCUUAAAUUCGCGUGUUCAAAGCAAGCGUUUCGCUUGAAGAGUCUAGCAUGGGAUCAUAAAAUAUGAAGUAUAAUCCAUUGUCUGUCUCUGGAUUAGACUUAAUGACAAAUAGG
RNAcentral lists this ribosomal RNA (471 nucleotides) under uncultured eukaryote. Its description in RNAcentral is "bacterial SSU rRNA". It matches the Rfam family "Eukaryotic small subunit ribosomal RNA", at positions 395 to 876 of the family's 1831-position model. The record is from RNAcentral.